Molecule: ribosomal RNA, 476 nt
Filed under: uncultured bacterium
Lineage: Bacteria
Description: bacterial SSU rRNA
Rfam family: Bacterial small subunit ribosomal RNA
Source: RNAcentral
AACUAACGCUGGCGGCGCGUCUUAAACAUGCAAGUCGAACGGAAAGGUCCUUCGGGAUACUCGAGUGGCAAACGGGUGAGUAACACGUAGGUAAUCUACCUUUGGGUGGGGGAUAACCCGGGGAAACCCGGGCUAAUACCGCAUACGCUAUCUUUUUUACGGAUUAGAUGGUAAAAGCUUUAUGUGCCAAUUGAUGAACCUGCGGCUUAUUAGCUUGUUGGUGGGGUAACGGCCUACCAAGGCAACGAUGAGUAGCCGGCCUGAGAGGGUGAUCGGCCACACUGGAACUGAGACACGGUCCAGACUCCUACGGGAGGCAGCAGUUAAGAAUCUUGCGCAAUGGGGGCAACCCUGACGCAGCGACGCCGCGUGAAGGAUGAAGGCCCUCGGGUUGUAAACUUCAAUAGACAGGGACGAAAUUUGACGGUACCUGUUGAAAGCACCGGCUAAAUACGUGCCAGCCGCCGCCGUAAAAC